This is an RNA transcript of Antechinus flavipes (yellow-footed antechinus), 4467 nucleotides long. It is a transcript of the gene named tumor necrosis factor receptor superfamily member 14-like, with no coding region annotated. The transcript has 6 exons. The record is from RefSeq and is a predicted model, not a curated record. NCBI's taxonomy places the organism in Eukaryota, Metazoa, Chordata, Mammalia, Dasyuromorphia, Dasyuridae.
UUCUAGCCUUUAUAAGAUUCGUGCUGUUGGGAGUUACAGCUAAUUAGAGAGAGAAAGCUUAGAGAUUAAAUCCUAGGAUCUCAGUUGGAACUUGGAAAAAAUCCUGGGGGUUUUCAAGAUGUCUCUAGUCAUCUGGCCAGAGAAUGACAGGAUCAAGAUUAUAGCCCACUUUUCCAGACAUCCUGUAUUAUUCUCUCUUCCUUGCCCUUAUUACCUUUCUUUCCCUUGCCCAAGGUACUCAACAUAUUUAUGGUUCAUGCACUGGAGUGUAUAGAAGACUUUAUGAAGUGGAUGGGGAGAGCUGUUAUCCUUGUCAUCCAGGCACAGAGAGAACCAACACCAUCUGUGAAAAGUGCCAGGCAGGGACAUUUUCCACGAAUGGGACCCUGGACCAAUGUUUGCCAUGGACCAAAACUGGGCCUGAUGACUAGAAGGAAAUGUUCAUUUAUAUCCAACGCUGUAUGUAGUUCUUCUUCAGGCUAUUUUUGCACUGACACAAAAGAUGAUAACUAUGAGAUAUAUAUGGGUCUCAGAGUCUGCAGCCCUGGCCCAUAUGUGAAAUCUAGAGAACAUAGGUGGUCACUCUCCCUGAUUUUUCAAGGAGGAGAGAACUCCAAAAAAGGAUCAAGCCUUCCCUGACUCCUCAAAAAUGGGUGAAAACAUCAUAAAAGGAGGUGAUUAUGCCCUUCCUGAUUUCUCAGGAAGGGCGAUGAAAACACCAAAGGAAAUGGGAAAUCAAAGCAGAUUAUUGAGUUUCUGAAGGGUCUCACUUGAAACAGCUCUCCAUUCUGACCAGUAACUGCAACCAAGAACUCCACCCUCCUGUAAGUAUCCACAGCCAGGAGUGCCCCUUCCCCCCCCCCCCCCAUUCCCCUGCCUCUGCACUCACCAAGUGCUGGUUACUUCCCAGCCAGGGUCUCAUCUCAGCAGAACAGCUGAGCCUGGCAUUCCCAAUCAGCCAAGGUUCACUCUGCCUUCCUGAACUGAAAAUCUGAAUCAAAAAACAGUUUGGAAAGCAAUUGCUCCAACUACAGCAGCUAGCCUGAGGAGUCCUCUACUUGAUGUUUCCGUGGCACUAGCCCGGAGGUGUCUGCACUUCAAACAGGUUAAUCGCCAGGCCAGAUUCUUUCUUCAGAACUUCUAGUGUUGUAUUAGGAGGACUCUCAUUUCCCCCCAAAGUCUUCUUGAUUUUUCAUCAAUCUAUCUUUGCCCAGAGGUGCAAAUUUGUUCCACUUGGGGAAAUCUUGAAAUUUGCCAACCUACUUCACUAUCUUCCCCAAAUCUUCCCCUCAUUGUUACAUUUUCAAUGCUUGUAUUGACAUUUCAGAAAUGGGGGAAAUAGAAUAAAUCAGAGCUUAAUUGAUUACUUUACUAAUUACUUAGUUUUAAGAAAGUGAUGGAGAAAAUUUUUGGUAAUUUUGGUUAAACAAAAAAAAAAAUACAUUCUUAUAUUCCUUUCUUUUGUCCCAAAGAAUUGGUUGUUAAAAUUUUACUUGUAAGGUGAAAGAAAGGUUAUGUAAUUUGCAUGAUGCAAAAACAAAACAUAUUUUAAAAAUAAUAAUAAAUUUCUUGCCACUGGCCUGGGAAGUGUUUCAAGAGUUAUUCUCAAUAUUCUUUGUUCUGACACAAAUCUUCCAGAGAAAGAGCCUAUAGAUAUAGGAUAUUCUAGCAUCCAUGUUUUGUUCUAAUUGUAUUUCUAUACUGAGCAUCCCAUGUGUCCUUCUCUUUUAGCCACAGAGUGAAACAGUAUCAUAUGUGAAAAGUGCCAGGUAGGGACAUUUUCCCCCAGUGGGAUCCUUGAUCAGUGUUUGCCAUGGAUCAUGUAGGUAUAACAUGUUCUCUUGGAAUUGGUGGCUAAUUCUUUUUAUUUAUUCAUUUAUAGUGAUUAAACAAAAACUUUGAUUUUAAUGAAUACCAAAUAAAAGAAAUGUUUCCAUACAUAAUGUAAAACAGGGGAAAAAAAGGAAAAGAAUGUCCAUGGGAGCAGGUAAACAUUUAACUAGAUCUAUGAGAAAUAAUAUAUAUUUUAGACACUAUGAUUAGGUUCAGACUAACUUUUGACCAAUUUUUCAUUCUUCAGGAGGAAGGAGAACUCUAAUAGCAAUGUUUUUAAUGUAGUCUUAGAAACCCCAAUGGAGGGACAGACAGAUAGAGACAAAGACAGAAUCGAAGAGAAACAGAGACAAACAGACAGAAAGACAGAAAAAGACAGUUGGAGACAGAGAAACAGAGACAGAAAAAUAGAGAGAUGAAAGGAGACAAGGUUGGAGGCAGAGAAACAGAGACAGAGACUUCUCCAUAUAGCUAAGAUACACCUAUGGUGUGGCCUGUUGUGUAGCUCAAAAGGAAGAAGACUAGCUAUCUCCAGCCUUUUCUCCUACCUGCACUUUUCCAAGGCAGAUUUCAAUUUUUGCCAGAACAGGAACAGGAAGUUGGAGCUGGGGGUCAUUUUGUUCUUCGUAGAGAGACUGGAUAUCCUUCACAUGUUAUUAGCCUAGGGUAUAUGACCAAAUUCAAUUUAAUUUCUGAUUAUUUUGUCUAUUUUUGGAGGAGGCAGGCAAACCCCAGGCUCUCCAUCCAAAACUUGAUCCCCUUGUCCAUUUGAUACCAUUUCUAAAAUGAACAUACAUCACAAAAACAGAGAAACCCAUUUUAUCUAAAUUGUGGCCAAAAAAAAUAGAUCAAAGAAGAUAUAUAUGGGAGAAUAUAUAUCAAAUAAUAAAGAGAUAGAAGCUUUCUUCCCUGAAAGUGAAAUAACUUAGCUCAACCAAGAUAGAGUUCUAAGCCUCAGCCAAUGGGAAACUCCCCCAAAUCUCAGUGUACUAAGCUGGAGGGAAGAUAUGAUAAAGGCUGUUGGUUCCUCUCAUGUCUUCCCAUAUUUGAAGAGUCUCCCACAAAUAUUUGAAGGUUGAUGAGUACUGAAAAGGAUUGAUAAAGGUGGACUUUCCCCACCAACUCUGCCCCAUCAAUUUCUGCAGCACAGGACGUUCAGCUCCAACAAUCAGGAGUGCAUCUCAUAUCAGUGGUCACUGGAACAGUAAUAGGUAGCAUUUCCAUAGCACUUGCUCAGUAUUGUCUUAAAAGAGCCUUAUAAUACUAGGAAGAGGGUGCCAUUAUUAUCCUUAUUUUAAAGAUGAGGAAACUGAGGCAAACAGAUGUUAAAUGAGUUAAUCAAGAUCACAUAGCUAUGAAAUGACUAAAUUAAGAUUUGAACUCCCAUGUUCCAGAUUGUAGGAACAGCACUCUGUCUACUGGUUUACUGGUCCCAAGUGAAAAGACAGAUAGACAGCAAUCUCUGACUGUCAGAUCUUUUUUGAAAAGUUGAUUAUUUUAGCCCAUUGACAUUGGUUCCAUUCAGUCUUAUUAAUUUCCUUUUUCUGUUAGAUUGGGCAGUGGGGGAUACAGAGCUUGUCUUGGAGGCUAGAAGCUUCAAGUUCUGUCUCUUAGACAUAGAAACAUUGUCUCACAGGCAGGCCAUGCUCCUUCAAAGACCUAGCUAACAAUCCAAGGCCCUCAGUCCCUGACAAUUCCUACAUCUGGAGAAGGUAUUUCUGCACAGGGAAUCUCCCAUGUUAAUGAAAAUACAGUUCCCUCCCUCACCCUGCAAAAAGCAACCUUAUUACAUGGUUUUAAUUUGUCUAAAUCUUUUUGGAUCCUAACUCUGGACACAAUGACUUUCUAAACAAACAUGGAGGCCCCUCUCCUAGAGUUUUAUUAUAAAUGAAUAUGGGAGGUGUGCAUGUCUGUUUUCAUCUACUUUUCUCCCUUUAUUUGGGACACUCUGCCCCUCUCUCUGGAAGUUAUUUUGGCAACUGAGUCUCAUGGCUGUCUGCAACUGGGAGAGGAAGUGGAUUGCUCAGUUUUGCUGGGCUGAUGGGAACGUAUCCAUAUUCAGUGACACAUGUCCUCAUCUGUCUUCCUAGUUGUACUGCCCAGGGUCUAUCUGAAGAAAGGCCAGAGACAGAGAUCACUGAUGCAUUGUGCUCACCAAGCAGUUAUCUUCAAAUCAGAUAUAUUUUGCUCAUUCCUUUCAUCACCAUCACAUGGUCUUCAUUUUGGUGCUGAAGCUAUUUUGUAGAAGGAAAAAAGAACCAGGAGGUUUUACCCACAUCACAACUAUCCACAACUACUCUUAAGAACUGAAACGAUGAAAUAAAUUGUGAAAAAUCCUAUCCAUACACAAAGAAAGAACUAAUUAUGUUUGAAGCUUUUCUCUCUCUCUGUUUUUCUCUCUUUCUCAUUAAUCUUUUUUGAGGGUUUUUUAUUUACAUUAGAGCAAAAGUUUUUUUUUAAACAACUUGAUUUUUAUGGAAAUGUUUUGCAUAACUUCAUAAGUGGUUUCCCAAUUGAGGAUGGGGAUAAGGGAAAGAAGCUAGAACUCAAAAAUUCUAGAAACAUGUAAUUCUUUUUUUUUUUUUUUUUUGCUUUGAAUGUAAUUGGGAAACUAUUGAAUAAAUAAAACAAAAC